CGGAGCUUGCUCCGGAUCCCUUAGUGGCGAACGGGUGAGUAUCGCGUGGGAAUCUACCUAGAAGUGGGGAAUAACUGUUGGAAACGACAGCUAAUACCGCAUAAUCCCUUCGGGGCAAAGGCUUCGGCCGCUUUUAGAUGAGCCCGCGUUAGAUUAGGCUGUUGGUGAGGUAAUGGCUCACCAAACCUACAAUCUAUAGCUGGUCUGAGAGGAUGAUCAGCCACACUGGGACUGAGACACGGCCCUGACUCCUACGGGAGGCAGCAGUGGGGAAUAUUGGACAAUGGGGGAAACCCUGAUCCAGCAAUGCCGCGUGAGUGAUGAAGGCCUUAGGGUUGUAAAACUCUUUCAGAAGUGAAGAUGAUGACGGUAACUUCAGAAGAAGCUCCGGCUAACUCCGUGCCAGCAGCCGCGGUAAUACGGAGGGAGCUAGCGUUGUUCGGAAUUACUGGGCGUAGAGGGCGUGUAGGCUGUUAGGUAAGUCAGAGGUGAAAUCCCUAAGCUCAACUUAGGAACUGCCUUUGAUACUAUCUUACUAGAGAUCGAGAGAAGUUGGCGGAAUUCCAAGUGUAGAGGUGAAAUUCGUAGAUAUUUGGAAGAACACCAGUGGCGAAAGCGGCCAACUGGCUCGUAUCUGACG
Molecule: ribosomal RNA, 640 nt
Filed under: uncultured Alphaproteobacteria bacterium
Lineage: Bacteria; Pseudomonadati; Pseudomonadota; Alphaproteobacteria
Description: bacterial SSU rRNA
Rfam family: Bacterial small subunit ribosomal RNA
Source: RNAcentral